GGACCCUGACGCUCCAUCCUACUCUGCCACGCCACCAAGCCCAUCGCUCCUCGUGGACAACCAGCGGCCCACGCCAGGAACGCCGCCGUCCCUAGUAGGCGGCCUGCUUUACCGGGGUUACGCGGACAAAUCCAUGACCGGGAGGUAAUGGAACGGGCAUUGUUUGUAUACACAGCUUAUGGUUAUUGUUUCUGUUUCUGUUUACGUUUACUUACCCGUGUCCUGUGUGUGCGGCGUCGGCUUACAUACACAGCUAUAUCUACAUGGACGGCUCGGAAUUCUGGGUGAUGGAGGCGUCGCUGGCCCGCACCACUCGAAACCUCCGGGUCACCUGCUCCGCUUCAGCACCUGCUACCAUCAC
RNAcentral lists this long non-coding RNA (361 nucleotides) under Triticum aestivum (bread wheat). Its description in RNAcentral is "long non-coding RNA (TAES_LNC023067)". Lineage: Eukaryota; Viridiplantae; Streptophyta; Magnoliopsida; Poales; Poaceae. The record is from RNAcentral.